GAGGAAGUAAAAGUCGUAACAAGGUUUCCGUAGGUGAACCUGCGGAAGGAUCAUUAUCGAGUUCUUUGAAGGUGGGCUUGAGCUGGUCUUCGGACAAGUGCUCGGCCCCGACUCAAUCCGCUCAACCCCUGUGCACUCUAGAGGUGCGGUCCUCCUGUCAAGGAGCCGCGGGCUUGCUCGCCGGGAUCGCGCCUCGACCCUUYAUACAAACUCUUAUAAAGUCAGUCGAAUGUAACCUCGCCUCGGCGAAAAACUAAUACAACUUUCAACAACGGAUCUCUUGGCUCUCGCAUCGAUGAAGAACGCAGCGAAAUGCGAUAAGUAAUGUGAAUUGCAGAAUUCAGUGAAUCAUCGAAUCUUUGAACGCACCUUGCGCUCCUUGGUAUUCCGAGGAGCAUGCCUGUUUGAGUGUCAUGAAUAUCAUCACCCUCCGGUGCUUUCGAGCGCUGGCGGCGUGGACUUGGGGGUUGCUGGCCUUGCGGUCGGCUCCUCUGGAAUGCAUUAGCGGUCGCUCUGUUGACCUCGGCGUGAUAAGUAUUUCGCCUUGGGCUGACGGAUCAAGCAGCUGCUUACAACCGCCCUCGGGCAACCUUUGACAAUCUGGCCUCAAAUCAGGUAGGACUACCCGCUGAACUUAAGCAUAU
RNAcentral lists this ribosomal RNA (644 nucleotides) under cf. Tubulicrinis sp. 4 LR-2015. Its description in RNAcentral is "eukaryotic LSU rRNA". Lineage: Eukaryota; Fungi; Basidiomycota; Agaricomycetes; Hymenochaetales; Tubulicrinaceae. The record is from RNAcentral.